GCUGGAGUGGAGCAAGCAGGGGAGGGACCAGGACAGACUGAGCCCCGAACAUCCCAUCACCCGGCCCAGCCAUGGACGCUGGGUGAAAACACACAAGAGCAGGCCAGCCUCCAGGAGGAGCAGGGGUCCUACCCCACACAGGGGUCCUACCCCACACAGGGGUCCCGGCUCAGGGCCGCAGCCUUCCCCCCAGCUCCCGCGCCCCGGGACCGUGGGAAAUCAGCCUGCUCUUUGUCCUGUCCUGAGCCAACACAUUUGCCUUGAGAGCGCUUAGGAACGGAAAAGCGUAGGGAGCAGCUGGCAGCCACCAUCGCGUUUGCUCUCGGAAGGCAAGACGAGGCAAAGAAAAUUCCAGAACCCAUUUAAGCGUCUGGGACUCCCGAGGUCACGGUGGGCUCCUGGCAGGCUCGGGGGCACAGCGGGUAGAGAAGGGUGUCUGCAGUUUCGCGAGGGGUUCGCGCUGUGCGGGCCCGCGCGGGCAGGACGCUGCUCUCCCGCCGGCGGAAGCGGGGCGCGCUCGGGCUGCGGGCAGCGGGGGCGCAGGGGAGAGCCCGGGCGCGGGCGCGGAGGAGCGGCAGGCGUGGGAGCCUCCGGGUGGGCGCGGCCCCAGCGGCGCAUGUGCAGCAAGACCCGGGACACGCGCCCGGAACCGUCUCGUGACCCAGCGAUGAAAGCUCGAAUCUUACGGGAUCGGCUGGAGUCCAGUGCGAUCUCUGCUCACUGCAACCUACAUCUCCCGGAUUCAAGCAGUUCUCCUGCCUCAGCCUCCUGAAGCUGGAAUUACAGAGUCGGGAUCUCAUUUCAUCACCCGGGCUGGAGCGCAGUGUCACCAUGGUGAAUCAUUACAGCCUUGAACUCCUGGGCUCAAGUGGUCCUCCUGCUUCAGCCUCCUGAGUAGCUGGGAACUACAGGUGGGCACCACCAUGCCCAGCUUAUUUCUUUUUAUUUUUUAGUAGAGACCAGGGUCUUGCUAUGUUGUCCACAUUGGUCUGAACUCCUGGGCUCAAGCGAUCCUCCCACCUCUACCUCCCAAAGUGCUGGGAUUACAGGUGUGAGUCAACGUGCCCUGCCAGGGAUUAAUUGAUUGGUUCAUUGAUUUUUAGUGAUAGGGUCUUGCUCUGUCACCCAGGCUGUAGUACAGUGGUGUGAUCACAGUUCACUGCAGCCUCCACAUCCUGGGCUCAGACUGUCCUCCCGCCUCAGCCUCCUGAGUCAUAAGAUUUUAAACUAUGGGCAUUUUCAGUCUUGCUGUUCACACGUGGUUAAUUCUCUACUCUGGCACUUUCCUAAGCAACUAUAAGCCUCAAAUGUUUCAUUGUCUUUUUUUUUUUUUUUUUUUUAUAUACGGGGUUUCACCAUGUUGGUCAGGCUGGUCUUGAACUCCCAACCUCAGGUGAGCCGCCCACCUUGGCCUCCAAAGUGCUCGGAUUACGGGCGUGAGCCCCCGCACCCAGCCUGUUUCACUGUCAAAGAGUGGCCCAGGGAAGCUACCCACUAGGGCCCAUGUACCACGGAUCUCUUGCAGGAACUGGGGUCAUGGACGAGUUCUCAUUCCGCUUCCGAGCUCCACAAAUAUGUGUUUUAAACUUUCCAAGUUUAUCUGAGCAAUUACUAGGCUGGACUGGUCCUGGAUCAGGUUGGUUCUGAUAACUCACUGGAUUGGACUCAGCUGGAGGCCUCAGGCAGCACCUUUUUGAUGUUGGGUUUUUGCAGCUCAAGGAGUCUGGGCAGGCCGAGAUUGGCAGAACUAACAGAAUCAAUCGGUGCUUUGGCCAAAGGCAUUACCGACUGAUGGAAGGGCACGGAAAACAGAAUGACCCCUUAUAAAAUAGCUAUCGGCCGGGCGCGGUGGCUCAAGCCUGUAAUCCCAGCACUUUGGGAGGCCGAGGCGGGUGGAUCACGAGGUCAACAGAUCGAGACCAUCUUGGUCAACAUGGUGAAACCCCGUCUCUACUAAAAUUACAAAAAAUUAGCUGGGCAUGGUGGCGCGUGCCUGUAAUCCCAGCUACUCAGAAGGCUGAGGCAGGAGAAUUGCCUGAACCCAGGAGGCGGAGGUUGCGGUGAGCCGAGAUCGCGCCAUUGCACUCCAGCCUGGGUAACAACAGUGAGACUCUGUCUCAAAAAAAAAAAAAAAAAAAUAGUCACCCCAAAGGAGAGUGGAAAGCUAUUCUUGAUUUUUUUUUUUUUUUUUUUUUUUUGAGACAGGGUCUCACUCUGUUGCCCAGACUGGAGUGCAGUAGGAUGAUAUCAGCUCACUGCAACUUGGCCUCCUGGGCUCAGGUGACCCUCUCACCUCAGCCUCUCAGUUAUCUGGGACUACAGUGGUCCAGCACCAAGCCCGGCUAAUUGUUUGAAAAGAUGGGGUCUUGCUGUGUUGCCCAAGCUAGUCUCAAACUCCUGGGCUAAAACAAUCCGCCCACUUCGGCCUCCCAUGCGCUAGGGUUACGGGUACGAUCUCCCCUGCGCUAGGGUUAUGGGCACGAUCUCCCGUGCGCUAGGGUUAUGGGCACGAUCUCCCGUGCGCUAGGGUUACGGGCACGAUCUCCCGUGCGCUAGGGUUACGGGCACGAUCUCCCGUGCGCUAGGAUUACG
Long non-coding RNA from Callithrix jacchus (white-tufted-ear marmoset), 2592 nucleotides. The record is from Ensembl. Lineage: Eukaryota; Metazoa; Chordata; Mammalia; Primates; Cebidae.